RNAcentral lists this ribosomal RNA (267 nucleotides) under uncultured bacterium. RNAcentral describes it as "partial 16S ribosomal RNA". It matches the Rfam family "Bacterial small subunit ribosomal RNA", at positions 793 to 1055 of the family's 1533-position model. The record is from RNAcentral.
GUCCUAGCUGUAAACGGUGCACGUUUGCUGUAAGAGGAAUCUACCCCUUUUGUGGCGAAGCUAACGCGUUAAACGUGCCGCCUGGGAAGUACGGUCGCAAGAUUAAAACUCAAAGAAAUUGACGGGGGCCUGCACAAGCGGUGGAGUAUGUGGCUUAAUUCGAUGCAACGCGAAGAACCUUACCUGGCCUUGACAUGUACGUAGUAGAAGGGUGAAAGCCUGACGAGGUAGCAAUACCAGCGUACACAGGUGCUGCAUGGCUGUCGU